GGUAGGAGCAUGCUGGACAGGCGCUGAGAAAUUGGGAACACUGGCAGAUUACUAAGACAGUCAAUGAAAACUAAACAUCUUAGGAAAAAGCAAAGAAAAAAAAACAGUUUUAAAAGAACCACGUGUUAUGUUUUAUACAUAGCAAAUGGCAGGCUCUAUUUGAACACCAACUGAGAAUUGAUAUCUUAAAAAAAAAGAAAAAACAAAACAAAACAAAAAACCUUAAUUUUGAGCCUGGAUUCUUCAGGGCACAUCCCUCCCUCUUUGGUAUUCUUUUUCCCUUUAAGUAAGGAUUUCUUUGCCAGUAGAUAUUUUUAUCCUAAGGAUUUAGCACCAAGGAUUUAUGUAUAGAAUUACCUGAUAGGUCAUUUUUACUUUUAAGCCAUUUCUCAUGACCCAGCACAUCGCCUGCCUGUAGAAUUUUUACAUCUUACAGCUAAAUCAGAAGUCGAGACACAAAAAUAACCUUUGUUGAAUGCUUGGGACCGUAAUCGCUCAGCAGCCAGAGUUACAAACAAUGCUACGCAGGGCCGUGUUAGAUGCCAGUGUUCACUGCGUGUCCUGAUUGAUCGACGACAUUUAGUACGUUGCAUCUAUCAUGGUUAUUGAUGUGUAUAGAGAACCUCAGAGAUUCACCACACAGUAGACAUUUGUAAGAAUAUUUGUGGUGCCUCCCGUUCCUUCGUAGAUGUGUCAUUUUUGUGGAAGAAAAAAAAAAGCAAUCAAUGUACCAUUAAGUACACUAUAGCAGACUUACAAAGGGGCUUUGUUCCUGCUGUCUUUGAAUGACAGGCCUGAAAAGGUGCUAUUUAAAUUGUUUAUGUCCUCAAGCCCUCUAAACAAGUCACCUGCAAAAUGUGUUCUCCUCCUUUCUAUAGAAUAAAAUAAAGGAUUUGUUUCUGGU
This 904-nucleotide long non-coding RNA is filed under the name Mus musculus (house mouse). Its description in RNAcentral is "long non-coding RNA chr5:149761694-149762598". The record is from RNAcentral. Lineage: Eukaryota; Metazoa; Chordata; Mammalia; Rodentia; Muridae.